This 488-nucleotide ribosomal RNA is filed under the name uncultured bacterium. Its description in RNAcentral is "bacterial SSU rRNA". It matches the Rfam family "Bacterial small subunit ribosomal RNA", at positions 9 to 518 of the family's 1533-position model. The record is from RNAcentral.
AGAGUUGAUCCUGGCUAGGACGAGCGCUGGCGGCGUGCUUCAUACAUGCAAGUCGAACGAGAAGUUACCUCGGGUAAUGGAAAGUGGCGGACGGGUGAGUAAUGUGUAGAGAAUCUGCCCUAGAGUGGGGGACAACAGUUGGAAACGACUGCUAAUACCGCAUAUGAGCGUAGCUGGAAUGCUAUUCUUGAAAACUCCGGUGCUCUGGGAUGAGUCUGCAUCUGAUUAGCUAGUUGGCGGUGUAAUGGACCACCAAGGCGACGAUCAGUAGCUGGUUUGAGAGGAUGAUCAGCCACAAUGGGACUGAGACACGGCCCAUACUCCUACGGGAGGCAGCAGUAGGGAAUUUUGCGCAAUGGGCGAAAGCCUGAACCGCAGCAACGCCGCGUGAUUGAAAAAGCCCUUCGGGGUGUAAAGAUCUGUCAGUAGGGACGAAACUUGACGGUACCUACAGAGGAAGCAUCGGCUAACUCCGUGCCAGCCGCCGC